GAUUGGGAAUUAUGUCAUCAAAUCUUUAAAUAACAUUCUCAAAUAUUUUUGUUGUAGCACACUUUUCAUAAAGCACAUACCAGUGGCACUUUGUAAAUUCAAAGUAAUUGAUUGUAUAACUUACUAUCUGGAUAAUUAGAUAUAUAUUUAUGAAUACCGUAUUGCAUUUUAACGUCCCGUUUGUGUAACUUGUGGACUGUUAUAUCGUCGAAGAAGGCAACUUAAAGAUGCCAAAAGUCAAGUCUCUUUGCGAAGUGUUUGAGAAAAGAGAAGACCAAGAAACAAGUCCGGAGAAGCAAGACUUGCCAAGAAAAAAGAUCGAAAUACGUGAAAACCCAGACAUAAAAUCAACGAAGGAGGCUAGACAAAGGGCUGGAAAGCCACCUUUAUUGCCAAAGCCACCUGGACUUGCAAAAACAACAAACCUAAGAAAGCCUGGGCAG
This is a long non-coding RNA of Mercenaria mercenaria, 443 nucleotides long. RefSeq lists it as uncharacterized. NCBI's taxonomy places the organism in Eukaryota, Metazoa, Mollusca, Bivalvia, Venerida, Veneridae. The record is from RefSeq and is a predicted model, not a curated record. The transcript is spliced from 4 exons.